ACACAUAUAAAAGAUAGGUCACUUCCUGAUAUGGCUUUCUGUGGAAGCUUGACAUAUGACAUUUGAGCAGUAGACUUGAUACAGCUUGCAGAGGCUAGGCAUUUGGCUUGGCUUGAGUUUGGAACAAAUGACUUGUUAUGACUUGAUCAAUUCUUCGAUUGAUAAAUACUUUGCAAACUCCGUACGUGCUGACGCUUAGUGCACUGGUCUGGUUCACAAGCGACUAACACUGAAGUUAAACAUUGUACCGUCUUUGUCAGCAAACAUUGAUCAGUCGGUUCCGGGUUAGUUUAUGCUUCAGUUUGUUGAUUAUAAAUAACCAACCAAGAUAUAUAGAAAUAUCUUGCUUCAGGGGUUGCAC
This 361-nucleotide long non-coding RNA is filed under the name Daucus carota (carrot). Its description in RNAcentral is "long non-coding RNA (DCAR_LNC002819)". The record is from RNAcentral. Lineage: Eukaryota; Viridiplantae; Streptophyta; Magnoliopsida; Apiales; Apiaceae.